This 205-nucleotide long non-coding RNA is filed under the name Eucalyptus grandis. RNAcentral's name for it is "long non-coding RNA (EGRA_LNC006903)". Lineage: Eukaryota; Viridiplantae; Streptophyta; Magnoliopsida; Myrtales; Myrtaceae. The record is from RNAcentral.
CAAGCUUCCGGGAUGGACUCAAGAUGUCGUUAUGGCUUCUCGGUUUCGUCGAGCUUUAAUGCGGGCCGAUCUUCUUGGUCGAGAGAGCUGGUCUUCAAUGUGGGCUGCAUCAUCGGCCGCUUGGCAAACUCGGACCAUGACCGAGUAGAGCGCCGCCACGGCGAAGCUUUCCACGGCGGGGGUAGCCAUGAAACGCGACGGCUUU